RNAcentral lists this ribosomal RNA (440 nucleotides) under uncultured bacterium. RNAcentral's name for it is "partial 16S ribosomal RNA". It matches the Rfam family "Bacterial small subunit ribosomal RNA", at positions 338 to 795 of the family's 1533-position model. The record is from RNAcentral.
CCUACGGGUGGCAGCAGUAGGGAAUAUUCGACAAUGGACGAAAGUCUGAUCGAGCAACGCCGCGUGAGCGAAGAAGGUUUUCGGAACGUAAAACUCUAUUAGCAGAGAAGAACAAGACCGUACGUGAGUGAGCAGCUCCGGCUAAAUACGUGCCAGCAGCCGCGGUAUUACGUAUGGCGCACGCGUUAUCCGGAUUUAAUGGGGGUAAAGGGAGCGUAGGCGGUUUGUUAAGUCUGAUGUGAAAGACCGCGGCUCAACCCCGGGGGUGCAUUGGAAACUGGGAGGCUGGAGUGCCGAAGAGGAGAGUGAAAUUCCAUGUGUAGCGGUGAAAUGCGUAGAUAUAAGGAGGAACACCAGUGGCGAAGGCGGCCCUCUGGUCGGUGACUGACGCUGAGGCUCGAAAGCGUGGGGAGCAAACAGGAUUAGAUACCCGAGUAGUC